Long non-coding RNA from Amphimedon queenslandica, 305 nucleotides. RefSeq lists it as uncharacterized. NCBI's taxonomy places the organism in Eukaryota, Metazoa, Porifera, Demospongiae, Haplosclerida, Niphatidae. The transcript has 2 exons. The record is from RefSeq and is a predicted model, not a curated record.
UAGAUCUACAAGUCUACAGCAGACGUUAGCUCAGGACAGUUAUUGUAUAAUAAAUAUUCAACUGUUACUGAUGAUCAUUUGAUGUUAAGAGAUAUUGUAAUGGCUAGGAAGAUGCCUAGAAGGUUAUUUGUACAGCCACACACUUCAAUUGAUACUGAUGGUUCUGUUGUUCUUAAUGAGUUUGAUAGUUCAUUUGAAGGAAUCAUUUCCUCAUUUCUAGCAAGAUAUCCUAACUAUGAUACUGAACUGGAGUCUCUUUGGAGAAACGAUCAACAUUAUUGGAAACAAAAAUAGACACAAUACAU